Molecule: ribosomal RNA, 274 nt
Filed under: uncultured bacterium
Lineage: Bacteria
Description: partial 16S ribosomal RNA
Rfam family: Bacterial small subunit ribosomal RNA
Source: RNAcentral
AUACGAAGGGGGCAAGCGUUGUUCGGAAUAACUGGGCGUAAAGCGCACGUAGGCGGAAUGUUAAGUUAGAGGUGAAAUCCCAGGGCUCAACCCUGGAACGGCCUUUAAUACUGGCAAUCUAGAGACCGAGAGAGGUGAGUGGAAUUCCGAGUGUAGAGGUGAAAUUCGUAGAUAUUCGGAGGAACACCAGUGGCGAAGGCGGCUCACUGGCUCGAUACUGACGCUGAGGUACGAAAGUGUGGGGAGCAAACAGGAUUAGAAACCCUAGUAGUCC